UGACGGCAUUACCAGACAGUAUUAGACAGAAAUACCCAGAUCUAACUUUGCCUGGUAAGACAGCAAUCAGCAGGCUCCAAGAAAUUCCACUUUUAUUUAUUUAUUUUUAAUUUUUUUUUUUUUUCCCAUAUCCAGCACUGUUAAAUUAUUCCAAAGAAAAAUGCUCAGCAAUUCCCAGGAAAUUCCUGAACUCGUCCUCCUUGCUCUCAGGCAGGGGAAUGAUGGAAAUUCCCAUUUUUCCACUCAGUUUUCCAGGACUUACCGUGCGUGGGAUUCCUCUGGAGCAGCUCCCAGAAAAUUUGGGAUGCUCCUCAUCCAGAAAUUCCUCUUGCUCAGGUAGAAUUUUGUAGGAUUCAGACCCCAAAAAGCUCCUAAACCACCCCAAAAUCAGCGCAGUGGGUUUAAGGAAGGGGGAGGGAAGUGAAGGAAAAGGGAAUUUUCUGGGUUUUUUCCUGGCUCUGGGAUGGGUUUUUCCCUCAGCACAGUGAAAUUUUCCUCUUUUUUUUUUUUUUUUUUAAGAUCACAAUUCCCAUUGGAAUUUUCUCCUUUUUUUAAAAAUCAGGAUUUAUUUCCCCAAUUCCAAGUUUAAAGAGGGGGAUGGGCCCCAAUCCCACGGAUUUACGGCCUCGUUAAAAUUCCAAUUUCCAGAAUUCCUCCCCCAUUUCCUCCAGGGCCUCCCGGAGCAGUUACUCAUUAACACCUUUAAUUAAUUAAUCACCCUCUGCUUCCUCCUUUCCUGCUUUUCCUGGGAAUUUCAACCUCCAAGGGCAAACCCAGCUCGUUCCAGUGUGGAUUUAGGGCAGCUCCUUCCAAGCUCCCCACUUGGGAAAUCAUUUUACAGGAAUUAUAAUUUUAAUUCUGAAUAUUUUUAAUUAUGAACCGUUCCUAACUUUAAUUAUGAACUAAUUCAUUUUUCCCUGACUUCCUGCAUUAUCCAGGAAUUUUAGCUAGGAAUCUUAAGCCUGGUUUAGUGCAAAACAGGGAAAAAGGGAUUUCAAGUUUUUUAGGGAUGAGGGGAGAGAAUUUUGGGAUGGAAAGGGGAAUCAGGAGGAAUUUUGCUGUGGAAAAGGGGCUGAAAUCUGGGAUUGGGAGGAAUAUUUUGGGAUGGGAAAGGGAAUUUCUCCAUGCAAAAGGAAAUCUGGGAUUGGGAGGAAUUUUGGGAUGGAAAAGGGGGAAUCAGAGGGAAUUUCUCCAUGGAAAAUGAGCUGAAAUCUGGGAAUGGGAGGAAUUUUGGGAUGGAAAAGUAGAAUCAGGGGAAAUUUCUCUGUGGAAAAGGGGCUGAAAUCUGGGAUUGGGAAAAGUAUUUUGGGAUGGGAAAGGGAAUUUCUCUGUGCAAAAGGAAAUCUGGGAAUGGGAGGAAUUUUGGGAUUGAAAAGGGGGAAUCAGGGAAUUUCUCUGUGGAAAAGGAGCUGAAAUCUGGGACUGGGAGGAAUUUUGGGAUGGGAAAGGGAAUUUCUCCGGAAUUUCUCCAUGGAAAAGGAGCUGAAAUCUGGGACUGGGAGGAAUUUUUGGGAUGGAAAGGGGAAUCAAGAGGAAUUUCUCUGUGGAAAAGGAGCUGGAAUCUGGGAUUGGGAGGAAUUUGGGAUGGAAAAGGGGAAUUUCUCCAUGGAAAAGGAGCUGAAAUCUGGGAUUGGG
Oenanthe melanoleuca is the source of this 1635-nucleotide long non-coding RNA. RefSeq lists it as uncharacterized. The record is from RefSeq and is a predicted model, not a curated record. The transcript is spliced from 2 exons. NCBI's taxonomy places the organism in Eukaryota, Metazoa, Chordata, Aves, Passeriformes, Muscicapidae.